RNAcentral lists this ribosomal RNA (253 nucleotides) under uncultured bacterium. Its description in RNAcentral is "partial 16S ribosomal RNA". It matches the Rfam family "Bacterial small subunit ribosomal RNA", at positions 524 to 776 of the family's 1533-position model. The record is from RNAcentral.
UACGUAGGGUGCGAGCGUUAAUCGGAACUACUGGGCGUAAAGCGUGCGCAGGCGGUGAUGUAAGACCGAUGUGAAAUCCCCGGGCUUAACCUGGGAACUGCAUUGGUGACUGCAUUGCUGGAGUAUGGCAGAGGGGGGUGGAAUUCCACGUGUAGCAGUGAAAUGCGUAGAGAUGUGGAGGAACACCGAUGGCGAAGGCAGCCCCCUGGGCCAAUACUGACGCUCAUGCACGAAAGCGUGGGGAGCAAACAGG